CUACGGGAGGCAGCAGUAAGGAAUAUUGGACAAUGGGCGAGAGCCUGAUCCAGCCAUCCCGCGUGCAGGAAGACGGCCCUAUGGGUUGUAAACUGCUUUUAUAAGGGAAGAACAGCACCUAAUGAUAGGUGUAUGACGGUACCUUAGGAAUAAGCACCGGCUAACUCCGUGCCAGCAGCCGCGGUAAUACGGAGGGUGCAAGCGUUAUCCGGAAUCACUGGGUUUAAAGGGUGCGUAGGCGGUUACGUAAGUCAGAGGUGAAAGGUCACAGCUUAACUGUGAGAUGGCCUUUGAAACUGGUAGCUUGAAUCGGAUAGAGGUUAGUGGAAUGCGACAUGUAGCGGUGAAAUGAAUAGAUAUGUCGUGGAAUACCGAUUGCGAAGGCAGCUAACUGGGUCUUGAUUGACGCUGAGGCACGAAAGCGUGGGGAGCGAACAGGAUUAAAAACCCUGGUAGUCC
RNAcentral lists this ribosomal RNA (459 nucleotides) under uncultured bacterium. RNAcentral's name for it is "bacterial SSU rRNA". It matches the Rfam family "Bacterial small subunit ribosomal RNA", at positions 339 to 796 of the family's 1533-position model. The record is from RNAcentral.